UACGCUCUACAACCCUUUGUGAACAUACCUAUAACUGUUGCUUCGGCGGGCAGGGUCUCCGUGACCCUCCCGGCCUCCCGCCCCCGGGCGGGUCGGCGCCCGCCGGAGGAUAACCAAACUCUGAUUUAACGACGUUUCUUCUGAGUGGUACAAGCAAAUAAUCAAAACUUUUAACAACGGAUCUCUUGGUUCUGGCAUCGAUGAAGAACGCAGCGAAAUGCGAUAAGUAAUGUGAAUUGCAGAAUUCAGUGAAUCAUCGAAUCUUUGAACGCACAUUGCGCCCGCCAGCAUUCUGGCGGGCAUGCCUGUUCGAGCGUCAUUUCAACCCUCAAGCUCUGCUUGGUGUUGGGGCCCUACGGCUGACGUAGGCCCUCAAAGGUAGUGGCGGACCCUCCCGGAGCCUCCUUUGCGUAGUAACUUUACGUCUCGCACUGGGAUCCGGAGGGACUCUUGCCGUAAAACCCCCAAUUUUCCAAAGGUUGACCUCG
Molecule: ribosomal RNA, 488 nt
Filed under: Colletotrichum kahawae
Lineage: Eukaryota; Fungi; Ascomycota; Sordariomycetes; Glomerellales; Glomerellaceae
Also listed under: 4 other names
Description: eukaryotic LSU rRNA
Rfam family: 5.8S ribosomal RNA (bases 166-319)
Source: RNAcentral